This 919-nucleotide ribosomal RNA is filed under the name Staphylococcus aureus M0092. RNAcentral's name for it is "bacterial SSU rRNA". It matches the Rfam family "Bacterial small subunit ribosomal RNA", at positions 8 to 908 of the family's 1533-position model. Lineage: Bacteria; Bacillati; Bacillota; Bacilli; Caryophanales; Staphylococcaceae. The record is from RNAcentral. RNAcentral also lists the same sequence under 4 other names.
AGAGUUUGAUCCUGGCUCAGGAUGAACGCUGGCGGCGUGCCUAAUACAUGCAAGUCGAGCGAACGGACGAGAAGCUUGCUUCUCUGAUGUUAGCGGCGGACGGGUGAGUAACACGUGGAUAACCUACCUAUAAGACUGGGAUAACUUCGGGAAACCGGAGCUAAUACCGGAUAAUAUUUUGAACCGCAUGGUUCAAAAGUGAAAGACGGUCUUGCUGUCACUUAUAGAUGGAUCCGCGCUGCAUUAGCUAGUUGGUAAGGUAACGGCUUACCAAGGCAACGAUGCAUAGCCGACCUGAGAGGGUGAUCGGCCACACUGGAACUGAGACACGGUCCAGACUCCUACGGGAGGCAGCAGUAGGGAAUCUUCCGCAAUGGGCGAAAGCCUGACGGAGCAACGCCGCGUGAGUGAUGAAGGUCUUCGGAUCGUAAAACUCUGUUAUUAGGGAAGAACAUAUGUGUAAGUAACUGUGCACAUCUUGACGGUACCUAAUCAGAAAGCCACGGCUAACUACGUGCCAGCAGCCGCGGUAAUACGUAGGUGGCAAGCGUUAUCCGGAAUUAUUGGGCGUAAAGCGCGCGUAGGCGGUUUUUUAAGUCUGAUGUGAAAGCCCACGGCUCAACCGUGGAGGGUCAUUGGAAACUGGAAAACUUGAGUGCAGAAGAGGAAAGUGGAAUUCCAUGUGUAGCGGUGAAAUGCGCAGAGAUAUGGAGGAACACCAGUGGCGAAGGCGACUUUCUGGUCUGUAACUGACGCUGAUGUGCGAAAGCGUGGGGAUCAAACAGGAUUAGAUACCCUGGUAGUCCACGCCGUAAACGAUGAGUGCUAAGUGUUAGGGGGUUUCCGCCCCUUAGUGCUGCAGCUAACGCAUUAAGCACUCCGCCUGGGGAGUACGACCGCAAGGUUGAAACUCAAAGGA